UUAUUUUGAAAUAAAGACUUUUUAUUCAAUAAAAAAUCUGUUCUUAUCAGUUUAAUAUCUGAUACGUCCCCUAUCUGGGGACCAUAUAUUAAAUGGAUUUUUGGGACAGGGAGAUGGAAGAAGAGCUUGCUCUGUCCACUCCACGCAUUGACCUGGUAUUGCAGUACCUCCAGGACCGGUGCACCUCUC
RNAcentral lists this small nuclear RNA (189 nucleotides) under Pelobates cultripes (western spadefoot toad). It matches the Rfam family "U2 spliceosomal RNA". From Rfam's summary of the family: U2 is a small nuclear RNA (snRNA) component of the spliceosome (involved in pre-mRNA splicing). Complementary binding between U2 snRNA (in an area lying towards the 5' end but 3' to hairpin I) and the branchpoint sequence (BPS) of the intron results the bulging out of an unpaired adenosine, on the BPS, which initiates a nucleophilic attack at the intronic 5' splice site, thus starting the first of two transesterification reactions that mediate splicing. The record is from RNAcentral. Lineage: Eukaryota; Metazoa; Chordata; Amphibia; Anura; Pelobatidae.